UACGGAGGAUCCAAGCGUUAUCCGGAUUUAUUGGGUUUAAAGGGUGCGUAGGCGGAACGAUAAGUCAGUGGUGAAAGCCUGCAGCUUAACUGCAGAACUGCCAUUGAUACUGUCGAUCUUGAGUACAUUUGAUGUGGGCGGAAUGUGUCAUGUAGCGGUGAAAUGCUUAGAUAUGACACAGAACACCGAUUGCGAAGGCAGCUCACAAAACUGUAAACUGACGCUGAGGCACGAAAGCGUGGGUAGUCAAACA
Molecule: ribosomal RNA, 253 nt
Filed under: uncultured bacterium
Lineage: Bacteria
Description: partial 16S ribosomal RNA
Rfam family: Bacterial small subunit ribosomal RNA
Source: RNAcentral